This 253-nucleotide ribosomal RNA is filed under the name uncultured prokaryote. RNAcentral describes it as "partial 16S ribosomal RNA". It matches the Rfam family "Bacterial small subunit ribosomal RNA", at positions 524 to 776 of the family's 1533-position model. The record is from RNAcentral.
GACGAGGGGUCCAAGCGUUGUUCGGAAUCAUUGGGCGUAAAGCGGGUGUAGGUGGCUCUGUAAGUCAGGAGUGAAAGCCCCAGGCCUAACCUGGGAAGUGCUUUUGAUACUGCAGAGCUUGAGUGUGGGAGAGGAUCGUGGAAUUCCUGGUGUAGUGGUGAAAUACGUAGAUAUCAGGAGGAACACCUGUGGCGAAAGCGGCGCACUGGACCAUAACUGACGCUGAGGCGCGAAAGCUAGGGGAGCAAACAGG